UACGGAGGGUGCAAGCGUUGUCCGGAUUUAUUGGGUUUAAAGGGUGCGUAGGUGGUUUGGUAAGUCUGGUUUGAAAGUUGGUCGCUUAACGAUCAAGGGUGGCUGGAUACUGCAGAACUUGAAUAUUUUGGAGGUAGCUGGAAUGGGUUGUGUAGCGGUGAAAUGCAUAGAGAUGACCCGGAACUCCAAUUGCGUAGGCAGGCUACUACGAAAUGAUUGACACUGAGGCACGAGAGCAUGGGUAGCAAACAGG
RNAcentral lists this ribosomal RNA (253 nucleotides) under uncultured bacterium. RNAcentral's name for it is "partial 16S ribosomal RNA". It matches the Rfam family "Bacterial small subunit ribosomal RNA", at positions 524 to 776 of the family's 1533-position model. The record is from RNAcentral.